Molecule: ribosomal RNA, 849 nt
Filed under: Kirschsteiniothelia acutispora
Lineage: Eukaryota; Fungi; Ascomycota; Dothideomycetes; Kirschsteiniotheliales; Kirschsteiniotheliaceae
Description: SSU rRNA
Rfam family: Eukaryotic small subunit ribosomal RNA
Source: RNAcentral
CGGUGAAACUGCGAACGGCUCAUUAAAUCAGUUAUCGUUUAUUUGAUGGUACCUUACUACAUGGAUAACCGUGGUAAUUCUAGAGCUAAUACAUGCUGAAGGCCCCGACUUCGGGAGGGGUGUGUUUAUUAGAUAAAAGACCAACGCCCUCCGGGGCUCCCUGGUGAUUCAUGAUAACCCGACGGAUCGCAUGGCCUUGCGCCGGCGACGGCUCAUUCAAAUUUCUGCCCUAUCAACUUUCGAUGGUAGGAUCGGGGCCUACCAUGGUGGCAACGGGUAACGGGGAAUUAGGGUUCGAUUCCGGAGAGGGAGCCUGAGAAACGGCUACCACAUCCAAGGAAGGCAGCAGGCGCGCAAAUUACCCAAUCCCGACACGGGGAGGUAGUGACAAUAAAUACUGAUACAGGGCUCUUUUGGGUCUUGUAAUUGGAAUGAGUACAAUCCAAACCCCUUAACGAGGAACAAUUGGAGGGCAAGUCUGGUGCCAGCAGCCGCGGUAAUUCCAGCUCCAAUAGCGUAUAUUAAAGUUGUUGCAGUUAAAAAGCUCGUAGUUGAACCUUGGGCCUGGCUGGCCGGUCCGCCUCACCGCGUGCACUGGUGCGGCCGGGCCUUUCCUCCGGGGGAGCCGCAUGCCCUUCGCUGGGCGUGUCGGGGAGCCCGGACCUUUACUUUGAAAAAAUUAGAGUGUUCAAAGCAGGCCUUUGCUCGCAUACAUUAGCAUGGAAUAAUGGAAUAGGACGGCGGUCCUAUUGUGUUGGUCUCUAGCACCGCCGUAAUGAUUAAGAGGGACAGUCGGGGGCGUCCGUAUUCCAUGGUCAGAGGUGAAAUUCUUGGAUUCAUGGAAGACGA